GGGGCAUAUGGUACAACUAUAAUUGUAAAAGGCUCAAGGCGCACCAAGGCACAAAGGGGGUUUGGAGCCUAGGUGCAAGGCGCAGGCACGCGCCCAAGCAACUCGAGGCGCAAAAAAUUAAAAAGCAAAAUCGUUAAAAUUCAAGUAACAUAAAGCUAAAUGCAAUAAAAUCAAAUACCAAAUAUCAAAUGCAAUAUAAUUUUUACUCGUUUGCUACUUUCACAAUCACAAUUCACAAAUCACAUUAUCACAAUCCACAAUUCAUAUUCACAAUAAACUCUAAAUUAUUGUUUGCUAACUAUAUUCACAAAUCUCAAUUUACUUGAUUAAUUAACAUGAUAAUUGUUAUAAGUUAUAGAAAGUAAAUAUGUUAAUAUAGGAAGUAAAUAUUGAUAGAUGGGUCAGUUGCUUAAUCUUAGGGAUUGUAUAAUCAUAGGCUUGAUUUUCCUUCCUGUUUAGUUACCGUCUCUCAUGUAUAAAUAGGUUGUAAUCUCUAUUGUGAUAUACAAUAAAUAUUAUCUUUCUACAUAGUAUCAGAGCCUUUCUCAUAGAGAUUUUUUUUUCUCUUUUCUCUCUCGUAAAGUUUUAAGAUUUUUUUGGAGACUUAGAGCUCCGUUCAUUUGGGUUAUCCAUAAAGGGUAACACUUGAAUCUCACCAACGCUGGAGUCACCACACUGACCCCUUGUCAGAUUUGAGGUUUGUUUGCCGUUCGGGUGUUGGGUGGAGGUGUUUUAUUUGGUACUGUUCACGGCACUGUUCACGUGGUACUGUUCAUCGGUACUAUUCACGUGGUACUGUUCAUUGGUACUGUUCACGCCGGGUACUGUUUUCUGAUUCUGUGUUUCGUUUGUUGCUAUCGUUUUUGAGUUGGUUGUCCUUAUGGCUGAAGUUAAAACCACCACCGUAACUAAUGUGAUUCCUAUGAUGACUAAAAUCACGGAACACAAAUUGAAUGGAUCUUCCGAUUAGGGAAUUUUGGUUCUAGUGCUGAAUCUGAAUAUCGAGCUAUGGCACAAGCCGUUUGUGAAAUCUUGUGGGUACGUCAACUGUUGGAAGAAGUUGGGUUCACAAAUUUGGUGUCUGCUAAGUUGUGGUGUGAUAAUCAAGCAGCUAUCCACAUUGCCUCCAAUCCAGUAUUUCACGAGAGGACUAAACACAUCGAGAUUAAUUGUCAUUUUGUUCGUGAAAAGGUCCAACAAAAGAUAAUAUCAACAAGACAUAUCCGAACUGGAGAACAAUUAGGAGAUAUUUUCACUAAAGCUCUAAAUGGGACUCGAGUUGAUUAUAUAUGUAACAAGUUGGGCAUGAUUAACAUUUAUGAUCCAACUUGAGGGGGAGUGUUAUAAGUUAUAGAAAGUAAAUAUGUUAAUAUAGGAAGUAAAUAUUGAUAGAUGGGUCAGUUGCUUAAUCUUAGGGAUUGUAUAAUCAUAGGCUUGAUUUUCCUUCCUGUUUAGUUACCGUCUCUCAUGUAUAAAUAGGUUGUAAUCUCUAUUGUGAUAUACAAUAAAUAUUAUCUUUCUACAAUAAUAAUAUAAACGGAAAAUUAAUAUAAAGUUAAAAAAAAAAUCAACAAUAAAAGGUUGGUUGGCAAUGCAGAGCAGCAUGCCGGAAGUAUGACAAUCAUGGGGAGAGAAAGAGUAAAGAGAAAGAGAAGGAAGUAAACGAGAAAGAAUAAAGAAAGGAAGGAUAAUUAUAAACUCAAAAAAAAAAUUAUAUGUUAAGAAUGAACUGAAGAGAUGAAAUGUAGGUAUAUUGAAGUCUUGAACGUUGAUUAAGAAUGAACUGAAGAGAUGAAAUGUAGGUAUAUUGAAGUCUUGAACGUUGAUUUUUUCUUCCUCUCCUUCCUCUUUUUCUCUUCCUUUUUCUUCCUCUUCUUUUUUUUCCCUCUUUUUCCUUCUCUCUCCUGCGGCUGCUGCUGGCUAUUGAAGUUGUUGUUAAAGUCUAGAGCAAAUUU
RNAcentral lists this long non-coding RNA (1955 nucleotides) under Manihot esculenta (cassava). RNAcentral's name for it is "long non-coding RNA (MESC_LNC002970)". The record is from RNAcentral. Lineage: Eukaryota; Viridiplantae; Streptophyta; Magnoliopsida; Malpighiales; Euphorbiaceae.